Molecule: long non-coding RNA, 846 nt
Organism: Daucus carota subsp. sativus
Lineage: Eukaryota; Viridiplantae; Streptophyta; Magnoliopsida; Apiales; Apiaceae
Exons: 2
Source: RefSeq, a predicted model, not a curated record
AAUUAGAAUUCCUAUGACCUAAGCAAACUUGAUUGAAAAUGAUGAUCAAGACCUAUUUACAGGCCUCCGUAGGCCGUCCAGAGGUAGUAUUUGGGCGAAGUUAUUUACAGUACUUAAUUGCUGAAGAAAUUGAAUGAAUUAAUCAUUUAUUCCUGUCUAGAGGUAGUACUGUGAACUUGGGAAGUCCAUGCUGGCUAAGGUAGUUGCAUCAGAAUCAGAAGCUACUCUACCUUUUUCAAUGUUUCUGCCUCGUCACUUACUUCAAAUUGUGUGGAAGAGGGUGAAAAGCUUGUUCGUGCCAGGAGUUGUCCAUAUCUGUGAAAGGUGCAUAAAGCUAGAAUAUAAGUUGUCAGAACACUAUAGAACGAACAACUCCAAUAGUAUGAUGCCUAAAAACAAAGCCGUGUGGCUCGGCCCAAAGUGGACAAUAUUCUACUAUUAAUGUGGAGUUUUGCUUAGCUGGCCCAACAGUUCGGACCCUUUUUAUGGUUGCGAUUUCCAGGAAGCCAUAUGUAAUAUUUAUUGAUGAAGUACGGAACUCUUCUGAGUAGAAUUGUGGUUUCUUUUAGCUCUACAUUGCUCACCUUUGUCCUCAGGUUUCCUUUAGCUGCUAGUUGUUCCUUACAUGUUACUUGAAUCCUUAUGUUUGUCUUGAUGAGUCUUUCCUCUGCUUCUACUGUAUAAUGACUAUAGUUUUAACACUUUAACCCCAGUUCUUGUCAUUGUGUUUAGCCAAGGAUGCAAUGUGUUGCAAGAAUUGCACCAAGUUGCACUUUGCAUCUUUGACAGAUUGAUAGUGUAAUACAUUCCUUCCAUGUAACUUUGUUCAGAAUCGUCUUUUUGAAA